AUUGAACGCUGGCGGCAUGCCUUACACAUGCAAGUCGAACGGUAACAGGUCUUCGGAUGCUGACGAGUGGCGAACGGGUGAGUAAUACAUCGGAACGUGCCCGAUCGUGGGGGCUAACGAAGCGAAAGCUUUGCUAAUACCGCAUACGAUCUACGGAUGAAAGCAGGGGACCGCAAGGCCUUGCGCGAACGGAGCGGCCGAUGGCAGAUUAGGUAGUUGGUGGGAUAAAAGCUUACCAAGCCGACGAUCUGUAGCUGGUCUGAGAGGACGACCAGCCACACUGGGACUGAGACACGGCCCAGACUCCUACGGGAGGCAGCAGUGGGGAAUUUUGGACAAUGGGCGAAAGCCUGAUCCAGUCAUGCCGCGUGCAGGAUGAAGGCCUUCGGGUUGUAAACUGCUUUUGUACGGAACGAAAAGACUCUGGUUAAUACCUGGGGUCCAUGACGGUACCGUAAGAAUAAGCACCGGCUAACUACGUG
RNAcentral lists this ribosomal RNA (482 nucleotides) under uncultured bacterium. RNAcentral's name for it is "partial 16S ribosomal RNA". It matches the Rfam family "Bacterial small subunit ribosomal RNA", at positions 30 to 507 of the family's 1533-position model. The record is from RNAcentral.